ACGUGAAACCUUGUGGGAAGCAGGGAGGACCACCUCCCAAGGCUAAAUACUACCUGAUGACCGAUAGUGAAGCAGUACCGUGAGGGAAAGGUGAAAAGAACCCCGGGAGGGGAGUGAAAUAGAACCUGAAACCGUGUGCCUACAACCGCUCAGAGCCCCUUAUGAGGGUGAUGAGGUGCUUUUUGUAGAACGAGCCAACGAGUUACGGUAUGUAGCAAGGUUAAGUACUUAAGGUACGGAGCCGAAGGGAAACCGAGUCUGAAUAGGGCGACUAGUUGCAUGCCGUAGACCCGAAACCGGGUGACCUAUCCAUGGCCAGGUUGAAGCGAGGGUAAAACCUCGUGGAGGACCGAACCACGUUGCUGUUGAAAAAGCAUGGGAUGAGCUGUGGAUAGCGGAGAAAUUCCAAUCGAACCCGGAGAUAGCUGGUUCUCUCCGAAAUAGCUUUAGGGCUAGCGUCGAGUAUGAGUAGUGGAGGUAGAGCACUGAAUGGGCUAGGGGGCAUAGCGCUUACCGAACCUUAUCAAACUCCGAAUGCCACAUACUUUGAGCUCGGCAGUCAGACUACGAAUGAUAAGAUCCGUGGUCAAAAGGGAAACAGCCCAGAUCGUCAGCUAAGGUCCCAAAGUGUAAGUUAAGUGGGAAAGGAUGUGAGAUUUCUAAGACAACUAGGAUGUUGGCUUAGAAGCAGCCAUUCAUUAAAAGAGUGCGUAAUAGCUCACUAGUCGAGAGAUCUUGCGCCGAAAAUGUAACGGGGCUAAACUUACCACCGAAGCUACGGGCUUGAACUUAGUUCAAGCGGUAGGAGAGCGUCGUAACCGGGCUGAAGUCGUACCGUAAGGAGCGGUGGACUGGUUACGAGUGAGAAUGUUGGCAUCAGUAGCGAGAUGUGGGUGAGAAUCCCACAGGCCGAAAACCUAAGGUUUCCUCAGGAAGGUUCGUCCGCUGAGGGUUAGUCGGGACCUAAGCCGAGGCCGAAAGGCGUAGGUGAUGGACAACUGGUUGAUAUUCCAGUACCACUACCAUCGUUAUUAUCGAUGGCGUGACGCAGGAGGAUAGUGUGUGCUAGCUAUUGGAUGCUAGUCUAAGCGUUUAGGCAGUGAGAGUAGGCAAAUCCGCUCUCAUAAUGCUGAGGCGUG
This 1139-nucleotide ribosomal RNA is filed under the name Clostridium perfringens. Its description in RNAcentral is "partial 23S ribosomal RNA". It matches the Rfam family "Bacterial large subunit ribosomal RNA", at positions 424 to 1565 of the family's 2925-position model. Lineage: Bacteria; Bacillati; Bacillota; Clostridia; Eubacteriales; Clostridiaceae. The record is from RNAcentral.